RNAcentral lists this ribosomal RNA (305 nucleotides) under uncultured bacterium. RNAcentral's name for it is "partial 16S ribosomal RNA". It matches the Rfam family "Bacterial small subunit ribosomal RNA", at positions 505 to 807 of the family's 1533-position model. The record is from RNAcentral.
ACAGCAGCAGCCGCGGUAAUACGAAGGGGGCUAGCGUUGUUCGGAAUUACUGGGCGUAAAGCGCACGUAGGCGGAUAUUUAAGUCAGGGGUGAAAUCCCGCAGCUCAACUGCGGAACUGCCUUUGAUACUGGGUAUCUUGAGUAUGGAAGAGGUUAGUGGAAUUGCGAGUGUAGAGGUGAAAUUCGUAGAUAUUCGCAGGAACACCAGUGGCGAAGGCGGCUAACUGGUCCAUAACUGACGCUGAGGUGCGAAAGCGUGGGGAGCAAACAGGAUUAGAUACCCCGGUAGUCCCUGUCUCUUAUAC